AAGUCGUAACAAGGUUUCCGUAGGUGAACCUGCGGAAGGAUCACUAGUGAUUAAAUCGAGAGCGUCUUCAUUGACCUCUCACCCUUCACAUCCACAUACACCUGUGCACCGUUUGGCUCUUUUAAAAGACGUAAGUCUGCAAAGAGAGUCAUCAAUUUUAUACAUACCCCAGUCUUAUGAAUGUAACAGUUUUAAUAAACAAAAUAAAACUUUCAACAACGGAUCUCUUGGUUCUG
RNAcentral lists this unclassified non-coding RNA (236 nucleotides) under Mrakia frigida. Its description in RNAcentral is "partial internal transcribed spacer region". The stretch from base 1 to 46 matches the Rfam family "Eukaryotic small subunit ribosomal RNA", at positions 1786 to 1831 of the family's 1831-position model. Lineage: Eukaryota; Fungi; Basidiomycota; Tremellomycetes; Cystofilobasidiales; Mrakiaceae. The record is from RNAcentral.